GACGAACGCUGGCGGCGUGCUUAACACAUGCAAGUCGAACGCUGAAGCUCAGCUUUUGUUGGGUGGAUGAGUGGCGAACGGGUGAGUAACACGUGAGUAACCUGCCUCCUUCUUUGGGAUAACGCCCGGAAACGGGUGCUAAUACUGGAUAUUCACUGGUCUUCGCAUGGGGGUUGGUGGAAAGGGUUUUUCUGGUGGGGGAUGGGCUCGCGGCCUAUCAGCUUGUUGGUGGGGUGAUGGCCUACCAAGGCUUUGACGGGUAGCCGGCCUGAGAGGGUGACCGGUCACAUUGGGACUGAGAUACGGCCCAGACUCCUACGGGAGGCAGCAGUGGGGAAUAUUGCACAAUGGGCGCAAGCCUAAUGCAGCGACGCCGCGUGAGGGAUGGAGGCCUUCGGGUUGUGAACCUCUUUCGCUCAUGGUCAAGCCGCAACAAUGGUUGUGGUGAGGGUAGUGGGUAAAGAAGCGCCGGCUAACUACGUG
RNAcentral lists this ribosomal RNA (483 nucleotides) under uncultured bacterium. Its description in RNAcentral is "partial 16S ribosomal RNA". It matches the Rfam family "Bacterial small subunit ribosomal RNA", at positions 28 to 507 of the family's 1533-position model. The record is from RNAcentral.